CCUACGGGAGGCAGCAGUGAGGAAUAUUGGUCAAUGGGCGCGAGCCUGAACCAGCCAAGUCGCGUGAGGGAGGACGGCCCUACGGGUUGUAAACCUCUUUUGCCGGGGAGCAACGGGCGCCACGUGUGGCGUCACUGAGAGUACCCGGAGAAAAAGCAUCGGCUAACUCCGUGCCAGCAGCCGCGGUAAUACGGAGGAUGCGAGCGUUAUCCGGAUUUAAUGGGUUUAAAGGGUGCGUAGGGGGAAUGUUAAGUCAGUUGGUAAAGUUUGGGGCUCAACCGUAAAAUUGCAGUUGAAACUGGCAGUCUUGAGUACGGGAGAGGUGGGCGGAAUGCGUGGUGUAGCGGUGAAAUGCUUAGAUAUCACGAAGAACUCCGAUUGCGAAGGCAGUUCACUGGACUGCAACUGACACUGAGGCACGAAAGUGUGGGUAUCAAACAGGAUUAGAUACCCUGGUAGUC
This 461-nucleotide ribosomal RNA is filed under the name uncultured bacterium. RNAcentral's name for it is "partial 16S ribosomal RNA". It matches the Rfam family "Bacterial small subunit ribosomal RNA", at positions 338 to 795 of the family's 1533-position model. The record is from RNAcentral.